GGGUUGUGAGGUUAAGCGACUAAGCGUACACGGUGGAUGCCCUGGCAGUCAGAGGCGAUGAAGGACGUGCUAAUCUGCGAUAAGCGUCGGUAAGGUGAUAUGAACCGUUAUAACCGGCGAUUUCCGAAUGGGGAAACCCAGUGUGUUUCGACACACUAUCAUUAACUGAAUCCAUAGGUUAAUGAGGCGAACCGGGGGAACUGAAACAUCUAAGUACCCCGAGGAAAAGAAAUCAACCGAGAUUCCCCCAGUAGCGGCGAGCGAACGGGGAGGAGCCCAGAGCCUGAAUCAGUGUGUGUGUUAGUGGAAGCGUCUGGAAAGGCGCGCGAUACAGGGUGACAGCCCCGUACACAAAAAUGCACAUACUGUGAGCUCGAUGAGUAGGGCGGGACACGUGGUAUC
This 402-nucleotide ribosomal RNA is filed under the name Escherichia coli LAU-EC10. Its description in RNAcentral is "bacterial LSU rRNA". It matches the Rfam family "Bacterial large subunit ribosomal RNA", at positions 1 to 433 of the family's 2925-position model. The record is from RNAcentral. Lineage: Bacteria; Pseudomonadati; Pseudomonadota; Gammaproteobacteria; Enterobacterales; Enterobacteriaceae.